RNAcentral lists this ribosomal RNA (774 nucleotides) under uncultured Neocallimastigales. RNAcentral's name for it is "partial large subunit ribosomal RNA". It matches the Rfam family "Eukaryotic large subunit ribosomal RNA", at positions 24 to 616 of the family's 3401-position model. Lineage: Eukaryota; Fungi; Neocallimastigomycota; Neocallimastigomycetes; Neocallimastigales. The record is from RNAcentral.
GUAGUCUCGCACAGAUGCAUAUCAAUAAGCGAGGAAAAGAAACUAACAAGGAUUCCCUUAGUAACGGCGAGUGAAGCGGGAAGAGCUCAAAUUUGAAAUCUUCAAGGUUUUACCUUGACGAAUUGUAGUUUAAAGAAGUGUUUUCUGUUGAAGUUUUGGUAAAAGUUCUUUGGAAUAGGACAUCAUAGAGGGUGAGAAUCCCGUAUUUGACCAUUAUUUUCAGCUGUGUGAUACACUUUCAAAGAGUCGGAUUGUUUGGGAAUGCAGUCCAAAAUGGGUGGUAAAUUUCAUCUAAAGCUAAAUAUUGGCGAGAGACCGAUAGCGAACAAGUACCGUGAGGGAAAGAUGAAAAGAACUUUGAAAAGAGAGUUAAACAGUACGUGAAAUUGUCAAAAGGGAAGCGUUUGACACCAGUGUUGUUUUCUCGAAAAUCAAUUAAAAAGAGUUUGAUUUUGUUGUGUAUUGACCUUAACAGCUUGCAUUUCAAUUUUCUUGCUUUUUUUAAUGCACUUUUCGUUUAACAAGUCAACAUCAGUUUCUUUUGUUGUAAAAAAGCUUGAGGAAGGUGGCUUGAGAUUCGUCUUAAGUGUUUAUAGCCUCUUGCCUAUGCAGUCGGAGAGAUUGAGGUCUGCAGCGUAGAUCCUUCGGGGCUAAAUGCAUUUGUGCUAAGUUAUAGCAUUUUAUAGACAACUUGUUGACUAUGAUUUAGUCUUGUAGCUUACUCGCUUAUGUUAUUUUACCUACGCUUAGGAUGUUGAGCGCAUGUCUCUCUCU